GAUGAACGCUGGCGGCGUGCCUAGUACAUGCAAGUCGAGCGAACAGAUGAGGAGCUUGCUCCUCUGACGUUAGCGGCGGACGGGUGAGUAACACGUGGAUAACCUACCUAUAAGACUGGGAUAACUUCGGGAAACCGGAGCUAAUACCGGAUAAUAUAUUGAACCGCAUGGUUCAAUAGUGAAAGACGGUUUUGCUGUCACUUAUAGAUGGAUCCGCGCCGCAUUAGCUAGUUGGUAAGGUAACGGCUUACCAAGGCAACGAUGCGUAGCCAACCUGAGAGGGUGAUCGGCCACACUGGAACUGAGACACGGUCCAGACUCCUACGGGAGGCAGCAGUAGGGAAUCUUCCGCAAUGGGCGAAAGCCUGACGGAGCAACGCCGCGUGAGUGAUGAAGGUCUUCGGAUCGUAAAACUCUGUUAUUAGGGAAGAACAAAUGUGUAAGUAACUAUGCACGUCUUGACGGUACCUAAUCAGAAAGCCACGGCUAACUACGUG
Molecule: ribosomal RNA, 497 nt
Filed under: uncultured bacterium
Lineage: Bacteria
Description: partial 16S ribosomal RNA
Rfam family: Bacterial small subunit ribosomal RNA
Source: RNAcentral